AUUUUUGGUAUUGGCAGUAAGAUUUUUGGUGGAAAAAAUACUUAACAACGAGAUCACUGAUUGGUCUUCAACUGAUGCAGUAAUCCUAUUGAACUACUUUGCUAUUGCGGUAACUAUAAUUGUUGUUGCAGUUCCCGAAGGAUUACCAUUGGCAGUGCCGCUGAG
RNAcentral lists this microRNA precursor (165 nucleotides) under Prunus persica (peach). Its description in RNAcentral is "miR6280 stem-loop (ppe-MIR6280)". Lineage: Eukaryota; Viridiplantae; Streptophyta; Magnoliopsida; Rosales; Rosaceae. The record is from miRBase by way of RNAcentral.